CCAGGGCUGUGGUCUGGAAGAAGCUGCAUCAGGCUGGAGCUGGAAUGGGGGAGCUCUCUCUUCAGAUGCAUCUGUAAAUUUAAAAAUUCCUCUCUCAGGGUUCCUGUUGCAGCGCAGAGGAAAGGAAUCUGACUAGUAUCCAUGAGGAUGCAGGUUCGAUCCCUGGCCUCGCUCAGUGGUUUAAAGAUCUGGCAUUGCUGUGAGCUCUGACGUAGGUCUAAGACAGGGCUCGGAUCUGCCAUUGCUGUGGCCAGCAGCUGCAGCCUGGAUUCAACCUAGCCUGGGAACUUCCAUAAGCCACACGUGUGGCCCUAAAAAGCAAAAUAAAGUUCCUCUCCCAUCCUAAGAGAGUCUGAGUCUGUUCAUAGGUGCCCAAGCAAUGAGGGGGUCGGAUGGAGCUGGGGCAGGUAUCCCCCCUCCCCUACUGGCUCCCUACCUUUCCUCCCACCUACCUGGACACGGACACGUGGGCCCGGAAUGUGGGGUGGGGGGUGCUGGUAGGUGGGAGGAAAGGUAGGGAGCCUCUAUCCAAGGCCUCAAGUUCACAAAGCGCCUUAAAUUAGACUUCUGAUGUUAUCGCCAAAUGAGGUUUUACACAGAGCCAUUGUCUGUUCACGUGUUUGAAGUGUUAAUGCGCUAAAUGUAAACAUUGAAAAUAUACCACAGCUUUUCAAUCCUGUUUGGCAUCUCACUUUUUAAAUUCCAGGAAGCUCAAAAACGGAAGAAGGAAGGUUCUCUGGAGUUUCUGAGGGGCCUUGAUGUAUGCCCCCAAAGGAAGAACGCGGAGUGGGGGCUAGGUGGAGGGAAGUUGCGCCCACAAAGGAGCAGUCCAGAAUCCGUGUCCAGCCCCAGCCCCGCGACCUGCCUCCCCCGCAGAGAGAGGCCAAGCCAAGAGAGUGGAGCGGCUCCGCGGAGGACCCCAGAAAGACGGAAGAGGCGCGCUCCCUCCCACGGGAAAGACAGAUGUGGGGCUACUGAAAGGCGGGCAGAGAGGCGCGGGGCAGGCGGGGGAGAACAGGAGCGUGACCGGGAGAGGAAAGCUCUCCGGAGGGAGCGAACCAGACCACCGGGAGGUCCGCCGCGACGUCGGGCAGGAGCAGGCGCCGGGGAGAGGAGCCAGGAGGGGGCGUGCAAUUUGGCCCGAGGGUCCUGAGCUGAAACUCAACACCCGCCUUUAGAGGGAACGUCCCCCUUUCCCCUCCGCCCCUUCUCUUCCCCUCCCUUUUCCCCUCCCUCCUUUCUCUUAAUCCCUGGGACUGAGCCCCGCGCCGGAGCGGAGAGGGCCCGAGGGGAGGAGAGAGGAGCUGCACUGAGAGGGCGCCGGGAGCCCGGGAAGGGGAGGGAAAGGGAGCUGCGAGCCGGGGGUGAGCCUCGGGGCCACGCGCCACCCCUCCCCCCGGAGCCUUCCUAGUCGUCUCAGUGUCCCCCAAACCCCACCUUCAGGCGAGUCCGCAGGACCCUGGUCCCUGCUCCUCCUUCGCAUUCUCUUUGGUCCUUCUUUUGCUUUGUGGCCUUUCUCUCGGUUCCCAGAGACACCUGGGCUGCCCCGAGCCCUGGGGCGCGCGGAACGGCCCCACAAAGGGUGCGAGUGAGCAGGACGAGGGGGCUGGUUCCGAGGGCCAGGGGGCUGAGGGCUGGAGAGGGGCGGGUGGGCCCCUCUGGCGCGUGGGGAAGGCCGUUCCGCCCCUUCGAGCCGGGCCCUCGCGCGGGUGGCGAGGCGCCGUCGCCGCGCCCCCAGAUCCCCGGGCGAGUGUGCCUGCGUGGGAACCCGCCUCCCCAGCGGCCGCGGUCUCAGAGCCCUUCGGCGCCAGCCUGGCCUCCGCUCAGCAACUCGGAAGAGUUUAAAGAGGGACGAACGUCUCCGUCCUGAUCCCUCCGCCCUCCCUCGGCGCCGGACCCCAGCCCCAGGAGCACCGCACUCCAGGCCGGCUCCCGGCUAAGGAGGGUUGGCUCCUAAACUCGCUCGUCCAGCCCGACCGUCCCGGCAGCUUCUCCCUGCCCUCGGGGCCGUCCUGAGCGGCCCGGGGAGGCGUCGAGGCGCAGCCCCAGCUCCCGCCUCUUCUCCUUUCCCGGCCCUGGAAGGGAGGUUUGGGCCCAUGCGGACCCGGGGUGCCCCCGCGGCCUAGGGCAGGCAGCUCCCCGGCCUGGCCCAC
Molecule: long non-coding RNA, 2153 nt
Filed under: Sus scrofa (pig)
Lineage: Eukaryota; Metazoa; Chordata; Mammalia; Artiodactyla; Suidae
Description: lncRNA (ENSSSCG00070000590.1)
Source: RNAcentral